Molecule: long non-coding RNA, 4483 nt
Organism: Mauremys reevesii (Reeves's turtle)
Lineage: Eukaryota; Metazoa; Chordata; Testudines; Geoemydidae
Exons: 10
Source: RefSeq, a predicted model, not a curated record
GUUUGCAGAGGAAUCAUCCAGGAGCCCUUGCCGGACGAGAAUAUGCAGAAGUGGCCGUGAGCAGCCUGGACAUCCUUCUAAGGGGACCUCAAGAGUCCUCAGGUUUCUGCCUUCUGCCUAACUGGCUUAGCAAGAGAAAAGAAGUCACAGGCCAGAGUCUACUGCCCUCGUGCAAUGGAAAGAGGGCAAGAGCGAUGAGUCUGCAAGCGUUGUUGAUGCGACGCAGAAGGCGUCCAUCUGGGAGCGGAACCGCCACCACUCUCAAUGAGAUAAGUGUCUUCUUUGGUGAUUGCUCUGCUCAAAGCCCAUCUUGCUCCUGGUAGGGACGCCCCGUUAGCUGGGGCUGGGUUUGUAAGAAAAGGUUCCUGACUAGUUGUGGUUACAAGGGAGACGAUGUCCCCAUUUUCAGGGGCUGCUCAUGUCUCUGGCCAGGACCAGUGUGUCCUUCGCAGCAUCCAGGGGGAUGACUCCAGCUGUGAGGGCUCUUGGUUGGCUUAUUUGCUGCACUUGUAGAGGAAUUGUCCAGGAGCAGCAGCCAGAGGAGAAAUUGGCAGAUGUGGGCCUGAGGAGCCUGGACGUUCUUCUAAGGAGACAUGAACAGUCCUCGGCUUUCUGCCUCGUGCAUAACUGGCUGUGGGUUUGGUGUGUCUGACCAGAGUCAUCUGUGCAGAGUGACUAUUUCAGGUGUCAUCGAAGUGCUUUCUACUUGUAGUCAUAAAGGCGUGAUGGGAGGAGGGUUCAGGGCAGAGCCCCACCAUGUGGGAGAGGCAAAAAGAAGCGGCUGCCCAACAUUGCCAAUUGAGAUGGUGACUGACUUGUUUUUCCGCUGGAUUUAGUACCAAGGGAAAAGAAGUGACAAGUCAGAGUCUGCUGCCCUCAUGCGAUGGAAAGCGAGUGAGAGUGAUGGGACUGCGAGAAUUAUUGAUGCCUUGAAAAAGCGGUCCAACUGGGAAUGGAACAGUCAUCACUGUCAAUGAGAUAAGUGUCUGUUUUGGUGAUUGCUCUGCUCACGGCCCACCUUGCUCCUGAAAGGGAUGCCCCGUUUGCUGAGGCUGUGUUUGUAAGAAAAGGUUCCUGACUAGCUGUGGUUUUGAGAGAGAGAGAAGAUCCCCAUUUUUAGGGGCUGCUCAGUUUUCUGGCCAGGAGCAGUGUGUCCUACGCAGCAGAAGGUUGCAUCUAGGAGAAUGGGUCCAGGUGGUGAAUUGCUUGCCUUUCUCUCGUGUUUCUCUCUCUCUCUUCUCUAGUGUGUUGGCCAACACUCUUUCUCAAUCUGUCCUUGCCUUUCCUUGUGCUGUCUCCCUUCUUAGGAUAUCGGCAGGCGAGCUAGGUGUGCACCCCCACAGGUUGUGUCUUGGGAGCCAUAAAGAAGUAGGAAGGGACGAAAAUCAUGCAGGGCAGUCGGUGCGAGACUGGAGCGGUGACUGUUGGUGUUGUGGGGCUAAGACAGAUCGAAAGCGACGCAGGGAAGAGGGCCUUAAUUGGGCUCUAUGUAGUUCAGGAGUUCUCAAACUGGGGUUUAGGUCCCAUCAGGGGGCCGGAAGGUUGUUAUUUGGGGGGUUGUGAAAUGUCAUCCUCCAUCCUAAACAUCACUUUGCUUCCAGCAUUUAUAAUGGUGUUGAAUAUACAAUAAGUGUUUUUAAUUUAUAAGGGGAGGGUCACACUCAGAAGCUUUCUAUGUAAAAGGGAUCAUCAGUACAAAAGGUUGAGAACCACUGGUGUAGUGAUAGUUCUUGCUUGCCUUUAUUAGUUUGCAGAGGAAUUGUCCAGGAGUCUCAGCUGGAGAAGAAGCUGGCAGAAGUGGACCUGAACUGCCUGGACAUCCUUCUAAGGAGACAUGAACAAUCCUCAGCUUUCUGCAUUCUGGAUAACUGGCUAUGAGACAGUCACACAUCAGAGUCUACUGCCCUCAUGCGAUGGAAAUUUGCAGAGGAAUCGUCCAGGAGCCACAGCCGGAUGAGAAUGUCAGAAGUGGAUCUGAGCAGCCUGGACAUCCUUCUAAGGAAACAAGAAUAGUCCUCAGGUUUCUGCCUUCUGCAUAACUGGCUUACCAAGCAAAAAGAAGUCACAUGUCAAAGUCUACUGCCCUUAUGAGUGAGAGUGACGAGACUGCGAGCGUUGUUGGUGCCAGGCAGGAGCCGUCCAUCUGGGAGCAGAACAGCUGCUACUAUCACUGAGAUAAGUAUCUGUUUUGCUGAGGGUUCUGCUCACGGCCCACCUGGCUACAGGUAGAGACACCCCGUUAGGUGGGGCUGGGUUUGUAAGAAAAGGUUCCUGACUAGCUGUGGUUUUGAGGGAGACACGGUCCCCAUUUUCAGGGGCUGAUGAUUUCUCUGGCCAGGAUCGGUGUGUCCUCGGCAGGAGAAGGUUAGAUUCAUGAGGGAUGACUCCAGGUGGUGAGUUGCUUGCCUUCCUCCUCUGUUUCUCUCUCUGUCUUCUCUACUCUACUGUGUUGGCCAACACACUCACACUCACACUCUCUCUCUUCUCCCCCCCCCCCCCAUAGGGCACGGGCAGGAGUGCUAUGUGUGCAAUCCCUCAGGCUAGGUCUCGGGAGCUAUGAACAAGUAGGAGGGGACGAAAAUCAUGCAUCGUAGUGGGCGCUAGAGUGGAGGGGUGACUGUGGAUGUUGACUGUCUCUCUUCAAGUGGGCCUGAUGUAGAUAGGAUGGGAGAGGGAGGCAGGGAUGAGGGCAAGAUUACCUGCACCAAUUGAAUUUUGUGUAGUGAUGGCUCUUGCUUCGCUCAUUUCCUGCGCUUGCAGAGGAAUUGUCCGGGAGCAGCAGCUGAAGGAGAAAGUGGCAGACGCGGACCUGAGGAGCCUGGACGUCCUUCUAAGCAGACAUGAACGGUCCUCAGCUUUCUGCCUUCUGAACAACUGGCUGUGAGUAAGAGUACCAAGGAAAAAUAAGUCACAUGUCAGAGUCUACUGCCCUCAUGCAAUGGAAAGUGAGUGAGAGCAGCGAGCCUGUGAGCAUUGUUCAUGCCAGGCAAGAGCCGUUCAUUUGGGAGCCAAGCAGAUGCCACUGUCAGUGAGAUAAGUGUCUGUUUUGCUGAGGGUUCUGUUAACAGCCCAUCUGACUCCAGUGUGUCCUCCGCAGGAGAAGGUUGGAUUCAGGAGGAUGACUCCAGAUGUUUGCAGAGGAAUCGUCCAGGAGCCCUCGCCGGAGGAGAAUAUGCAGAAGUGGAUCUGAGAAGCCUGGACAUCCUUCUAAGGAGACAUGAACAGUCCUCGGGUUUCUGCAUAACUGGCUGUUCCUCAUCUGUACUUGCUGUAGUUGUCUUCAUAGGCCAUGUGCUUCCUCCUUGGGUACGGGGCUCUGUGGCUGGGGAGGGGCCAGAAUCUGCUCUGUAGAGUGACUAUGUUGGGUGCCAUUAAGAGGGCCAAUGUAGACAGGAGAAAAGGGGUCUGAACCCUGAUUACAGGGCUGUCACCCUUUCCUUAGUAAAAUACGUCUCCUUUAAACUCGGUGUGUGCAGGGGGCGGGGGGAAGUCCCCAAUGUGAAAAGAUCUGGAAAUGAACAGGUAAGGGAGGGAUCCUGCUGAGUGUCUCCUUUCCAAUCAAUCCUCCAUCUCUCAGCGACACCCUUCCGGACUUACCUUCCUACCUCACCAAGAAAAUAACUUUGUGCUCCCUAACCUUUACCAGAAAAGACCCCUCUUCCUUGUGACGCAGUCCCGUUAGUAGGGUUAGGUGCACCCACGUGCUGGCUCUGAAUACCACCGCAUGUGCUUACAACACCUGAACAUCAACACAUUUCAGAAAGGAUAGCCACAACAAUCCCUUCAGACGUAGCCCUAGGAAUCUCCUCUGUCUAUCUCCAAAGAGACACAAGGCCUGGAAUUUGGACACAGCUGAGGGAGCUGUCCGAAUGUCUACAGUUGAACACUCAUCAGUGCGCAGUGUCUUUCUUGUGCACAGGAAAACAAAGGGUCAAAGUUGUGGUUGGUUGAGCGGUGUAAAUUGGGCAGGGCAAAAGGACUUGAGGAAGGAUGAGGUGGAAGUGAGGGUCUGAAAGGAGCCGCCCCCACCACCUCACCUGUUCAUUUCCAGACUGUGUGACAUUUGCAUGGUUGGGCCAUUUCUUGGCUUUUUUGAGAAAAGGGGCGAAUUUUCCAUGGCCUCCACCAUCCCCUUACAGCUGCCCCUUCGACACACCAUGUUGCAUCUGACCUGGAUAGGUCGCAAGUAAGAUUUCACUUCAAAUCUCAAAGUCCAGUGGAAAUAAUUUUGGGCGAAUUUCCUAUUGCUAAGAGAAACGGAAGCUCAAGCCUUCUCAAGGGGUAGGGUGUCGCUCAGCCACAGGCACAAAAAGGCUCCCCUAGUUUAAGCGUGCGAGGGAUAAGACCUUACAGCCUGGUUACAGGGCAGUCAUUUUGCCGGGCCUGUCAAAGUGACCUGUGGUUUAAUUUGCUUGGCAAAGGAGACCCAAACCUUCCUUACAGGGUGGUCCUUAAGCCAGGGGCGUUCGAAUGGGGCAGAGAG